GAUGAAGAACGUAGCGAAAUGCGAUAAGUAAUGUGAAUUGCAGAAUUCAGUGAAUCAUCGAAUCUUUGAACGCACAUUGCGCCCUUUGGUAUUCCUUAGGGCAUGCCUGUUCGAGCGUCAUUUAAACCUUCAAGCUAAGCUUGGUGUUGGGUGACUGUCCGCUUCACUGCGGACUCGCCUCAAAAUUAUUGGCGGCCGGUACAUUGGCUUCGAGCGCAGCAGAAACGCGAACUCGGGCCCGUCGUAUUGGCUCCCAGAAGCUAUCUUCACAAUUUUGACCUCGGAUCAGGUAGGGAUACCCGCUGAACUUAAGCAUAUCAAUAAGCGGAGGA
This 332-nucleotide unclassified non-coding RNA is filed under the name soil metagenome. Its description in RNAcentral is "partial contains 5.8S ribosomal RNA, internal transcribed spacer 2, and large subunit ribosomal RNA". The stretch from base 1 to 120 matches the Rfam family "5.8S ribosomal RNA", at positions 35 to 154 of the family's 154-position model. The record is from RNAcentral.